GACAUCAUCAGAGGGAGACUACACAGGUAAGGCACACAGAGCUCGACACAAAGGUGUUAGCUCAUGACGUCACUAGAGGGCGGGAGGCUUCAGUCAGUGCUUCGGUCAGUAGUAAACCUCGGCAAGGCGCAUGUGUCGUACUGCAGGGCGAAGAGAAAGGUUGGACAGCAGCGUGUAACGAUGGAUGGCUGUAAUGUCUGUGUAUUGUGCAGAGCGCAACAGAAACUUGGUGUCUGCAGUGGGAUCAGCGGUGCUCCUGAGAGGCAGCGUGAGACUGAAGGCUCGCCACACAAACAGUGGAUGUGGAGUUUCACAAGCUGAUUAUCCUGAAAGUCACAAUGGGUUGGAACAAACAUGGUGGAACAUGUCCAGCAAGCUGAGGUGGUGAGGCCGUACCCCUGCAUCCUGACACUGGAACAUGACAAGCAGCGCUCCUCUCCGACAGCUCAGGUUUAGGAGCAAAGCUCACUGCUUGGGGCAGCUGAUGUGCAGUGAAGGUCUGAACAGCUGCUUCAAGGCAACUACACUAAGCAGUGUGCUCCUGCACGGGGCUUUAUCCAGACAGUGCACUAUGAAAUGGCAGGGAGUGAGUUCAGACCUGAGGCAAUUCUACAUACAGCAGAGAACUUUAAUGUUUUAGUUUAUUUAAUGAUGCAUUCUAAUGACUUUCAGUUUCACAAUACUUUGUCAUUUUGCCAAAAAAAAUAAAAUAAAUAAAUAAAUAAAUAAAAAUUAAAGGCAGAAUGAGUAGGAUUUUCCUGAAAAACAAUGCAUAGAUUCAUACAAAAACAUUCCCUCUCAAUCAUCGUUUAUUACUCACUAGAAUCAAAUCAAAUCAAAUCACACUUUAAUUGUACAGGACCUUUCGUGCAAAAUUGAAAUACAAGGUGCUUCACAAUUCAGUGACUACAUAAUAAUAUGGUGAAGAUCCAACCUUGCAUAAGGAAUGAUAAAAUAAGAAACAUGAUAGAAUACAGACCAGUGAAACACAGUAGAAGAGGGAUUAAAGUGGAUUAAAACACAAAUAAAAACAAAAUUGAAGAAAAAAAAAUAAUGAUAACAAAAUAAACUAGACUUUGCUAAAGUUUCUGAAGAAACUUAAAAUGUACUUGCCACCGUUGCAAACCAUGUGGCCAUGUGGUAAACUGCCAGCCCUAUGCUGUUUGUAGGUUGUGUUUGUUUUUUAGUCAUUUUGCUAAACUGUUGCUGUUGUUAGGGGACUGGCAGGCAUUUACUGUGGUCCGGGUCAUUUCCAGGAAGUUAUCGUUACCCUAAUUUUAAAACGAUCACAUAUGAGUGAAAAAGUGCAGCGUGUUCAUUUCAUGAUCGUAAGGAGAAAUUUAAGUUGAAAGAUGCAUAAUUUCUAAAAAUAAAAACUAAAAAACUGCAUAAUAUAGAACUUCAACAAUCCAAUAUUCAAAAUGCAGUAGAGAGAGUAUUUACACUAAAUAAAAAGAAACAUUUGAUAAGCACAUUGUAUGGAAUUUUACUUGAUUCAUUAGUGAAAGAUGAACCUUUUUAAAAAUAUGUACAGUACAUGGAAUAAAGAUCCAUGUACUGUAAAUGGGAGCAAGUUUGAUAACAGCACCUCAGACAGAUGAAGCAUCUCAGUCGGGGACACUCACUUAUAAAUACGCUUUACUUCCGUGAGAGAGUAACAGGGAUUUGUGAAGAAACUGAGAGUUGGGUGUCAAGGACACAUAGCUGGAAAUCUCAGUAUGGAUGUACGUUAGGGAAAAUCGGGAAGAAAAUGGCUGGCAUCCAUAGUAGUUGAAAAACUCCCUUUUGAAUUAACAAAGUUGUUUUUUUUUCUUAUGUUGUAUUUAUAAAGCUUCCAUUGGGUAUUCACGUAUUUGGAGGCAUGCGUGCAUACAUGUGCAUAUGUAAAUACACAAGUUUAUUUGGCUAAGCUUCCCCACUCAUUUAUGGGUGUUAAAACUGUGCAUAUGUUGUAUAAAAAAAAUAAAGAAUAAAAAAAAGACUGAAAUAUCCUCAAAUAAGACACUCUUUGUGUUCCAUUUCAGAUAAGUUUGACCACUACAGGACUGUAGUUCCAGAUGGUAACGUGAUAGGAGUGGGUAAAGUGAGCCCCAAAUGUGAUAAACUAAAAUAAACCUGAUAUUUAAAGACCACUUUAUCAUG
Long non-coding RNA from Myripristis murdjan (pinecone soldierfish), 2142 nucleotides. RefSeq lists it as uncharacterized. NCBI's taxonomy places the organism in Eukaryota, Metazoa, Chordata, Actinopteri, Holocentriformes, Holocentridae. The transcript has 3 exons. The record is from RefSeq and is a predicted model, not a curated record.